GUGGACUAGGCUGGGGGGCUGAUCCUCUCCUGUUGCCCCAAACGGAUCUUUUGGGGGGGCUGAAGUCUGCGGGGCGGCGUCCAAAACCGCCUUGAAGUCUAAGGUCGGACGGUGACUUCUCGUCCCGCUGGAUUGUCCGCCGUUGGAAUCGGGUCAGGCCCUGACGGGAGCAGCCCUAACAGCAGCGGACGAUGCUUGCGGGGUCACGGGGAAAAGAAUGGCCUUAGGUUCCCUUCAGGGCAGUUAGGUCGUCCACCUGCGGACGUGUCCGC
RNAcentral lists this signal recognition particle RNA (272 nucleotides) under uncultured archaeon. RNAcentral's name for it is "Bacteria_large_SRP". It matches the Rfam family "Archaeal signal recognition particle RNA". The record is from RNAcentral.